GUUGGGACUCUUGAAGUCUUAGUGGCGCAGCUAACGCACUAAGUAGACCGCCUGGGGAGUACGGCCGCAAGGUUAAAACUCAAAUGAAUUGACGGGGGCCCGCACAAGCGGUGGAGCAUGUGGUUUAAUUCGACGCAACGCGAAGAACCUUACCUGGCCUUGACAUGCAGAGAACUUUCCAGAGAUGGAUUGGUGCCUUCGGGAACUCUGACACAGGUGCUGCAUGGCCGUCGUCAGCUCGUGUCGUGAGAUGUUGGGUUAAGUCCCGUAACGAGCGCAACCCCUAUCCCUAGUUGCUAGCAGUUCGGCUGAGAACUCUAGGGAGACUGCCGGUGACAAACCGGAGGAAGGUGGGGAUGACGUCAGGUCAUCNUGGCCCUUACGGCCAGGGCUACACACGUGCUACAAUGGUGCGUACAGAGGGCUGCAAACCCGCGAGGGGGAGCUAAUCUCACAAAACGCAUCGUAGUCCGGAUCGGAGUCUGCAACUCGACUCCGUGAAGUCGGAAUCGCUAGUAAUCGCGAAUCAGAAUGUCGCGGUGAAUACGUUCCCGGGCCUUGUACACACCGCCCGUCACACCAUGGGAGUGGAUUGCACCAGAAGUGGUUAGUCUAACUUCGGGAGGACGAU
Molecule: ribosomal RNA, 631 nt
Filed under: uncultured bacterium
Lineage: Bacteria
Description: bacterial SSU rRNA
Rfam family: Bacterial small subunit ribosomal RNA
Source: RNAcentral